This 584-nucleotide ribosomal RNA is filed under the name uncultured bacterium. RNAcentral describes it as "bacterial SSU rRNA". It matches the Rfam family "Bacterial small subunit ribosomal RNA", at positions 13 to 589 of the family's 1533-position model. The record is from RNAcentral.
UUGAUCCUGGCUCAGAUUGAACGCUGGCGGCAGGCUUAACACAUGCAAGUCGAGCGGGGUGAUGGUGCUUGCACUAUCACUUAGCGGCGGACGGGUGAGUAAUGCUUAGGAAUCUGCCUAUUAGUGGGGGACAACAUCUCGAAAGGGAUGCUAAUACCGCAUACGUCCUACGGGAGAAAGCAGGGGAUCACUUGUGACCUUGCGCUAAUAGAUGAGCCUAAGUCGGAUUAGCUAGUUGGUGGGGUAAAGGCCUACCAAGGCGACGAUCUGUAGCGGGUCUGAGAGGAUGAUCCGCCACACUGGGACUGAGACACGGCCCAGACUCCUACGGGAGGCAGCAGUGGGGAAUAUUGGACAAUGGGGGGAACCCUGAUCCAGCCAUGCCGCGUGUGUGAAGAAGGCCUUAUGGUUGUAAGGCACUUUAAGCGAGGAGGAGGCUCUUUUGGUUAAUACCCAAGAUGAGUGGACGUUACUCGCAGAAUAAGCACCGGCUAACUCUGUGCCAGCAGCCGCGGUAAUACAGAGGGUGCAAGCGUUAAUCGGAUUUACUGGGCGUAAAGCGCGCGUAGGCGGCCAAUUAAGUC